This 253-nucleotide ribosomal RNA is filed under the name uncultured bacterium. RNAcentral's name for it is "partial 16S ribosomal RNA". It matches the Rfam family "Bacterial small subunit ribosomal RNA", at positions 524 to 776 of the family's 1533-position model. The record is from RNAcentral.
UACGUAGGGGGCUAGAGUUGUCCGGAAUCAUUGGGCGUAAAGAGCGUGUAGGCGGCCCGGUAAGUCCGCUGUGAAAGUCAAAGGCUCAACCUUUGAAUGUCAGCGGAUACUGCCGGGCUAGAGUCCGGAAGAGGCGAGUGGAACUCCUGGUGUAGCGGUGGAAUGCGCAGAUAUCGGGAAGAACACCCGUGGCGAAGGCGGUUCUCUGGGACGGUACUGACGCUGAGACGCGAAAGCGUGGGGAGCGAACAGG